Non-coding RNA from Triticum urartu, 981 nucleotides. NCBI's taxonomy places the organism in Eukaryota, Viridiplantae, Streptophyta, Magnoliopsida, Poales, Poaceae. The record is from RefSeq and is a predicted model, not a curated record.
AGAUGUGAAAUAGCUGUUUGGUGGAGGUGCCAGGAUUUAUGAAUUAAGCUAUCUGAUGCUGACGGUGGUUUCACGUCGUUGGAAGUUUGUGGGCCUCGUGGAGUCAAGUCGUGGUAGUACCUGGUCUGGUAGAUUUUAUACGAUGUGUGUAUCGACCCAAGUUGGUUCAUCGUAAGGUGUCUGGUAGAAUUACUAGAAGUAGCGGAUCUACUUUUAUUUGCUGUCCUAGCUUGCCAUCAACUUAUGCCAACGACACAAGAUUUGUUCAUCGCAUGAAGCAAGGAAUUGAGACGGCCAUCCACUUCAUAUUGUUAACUGGAUGGUGUCGCACUAUGCUUUAUGAAAGCAACCUAAAUAAAUUGUUGUAAAUAACCCUAAGGAUUUUCUUUACCUUCAACUAUCUUUAAACCUUUCUUCUUGCUUCACUUGAUGCUUUUGGACUUCAUGCUGCCAUUGACCAGAAUGUAAACCGUUAUAUUUCUGAAUGCGCUAUGUAUGAGAUCUCUGAUGCUACUAAUUAUUGGACUGCUUCGGGUCAUCUAUUUCCUUGUGCAGCAAGGAUUCUGGAUCGGGCGCAGGUCGUCGCCAUAAGAGAGCCUGGCUGGUGUGGUCUUCAUGCUUGGUGUGGAGAAGCAGGGGAGGAUGAGUAGGACGGGCAUGGGGAAGGAGCAGCCAGGCCGGAGCUCCGGCGUUGCUCACGUCAUGGUCGAAUGGAGCCGGCCAUCACUAUGGGCUGCUGCUCGCCGGUCGUCGUUCCCCAAUCUCAGUUGCUCAUCUUUGGCUUCACCAUCUUCCUCCCCUGAUCAUGCAUCUAUUUUAGAUCAUAUAAUUAUGCUAUAUCAUAUAUGUUGUUUAGUUCAGACUUGUGCAUGUGCAUGCAUUGGCAUUGAUUUAGACAGAGAUAUUGCAUGAUUUGUACAUAAAAGGAGUACGGAUGAUCUAAGAAUAAAUGUUUGAAUAAAGUUAGUAGUGAGAUUCAGG